Molecule: ribosomal RNA, 462 nt
Filed under: Triticum aestivum (bread wheat)
Lineage: Eukaryota; Viridiplantae; Streptophyta; Magnoliopsida; Poales; Poaceae
Description: partial small subunit ribosomal RNA
Source: RNAcentral
AUGUGCCGGAACCUGAAAUCUAUCUCUUUGAAAUUCUGGUUGGGAGCAGCCGAUGGGGAACGCAAAGUCCACUGGGUGGCGUGGGAUAAAAUGUGCAUGAGAAAAAGGGAAGGUGGAAUGGGGUUCAGAAAUUUUGAGAUUUUCAACCAAGCUCUUCUAGCAAAGCAGGUGUGGCGGAUCAUUAUGGUGCCAAAUUCAUUAUGCGCACGGGUGUUAAAAGCUAGAUAUUUUCAGGACAUGGAUAUAAUGUCAGCCCCUUGUCCACAAGGUUGCUCUUUCACAUGGAGAAGUCUAAUGCAUGGGAGGGAUCUGUUAGCACAAGGGUUGGUGUGGAGAGUGGGAGACGGCUCUACAAUCAAUGUACAUCAUAGCAAUUGGAUCCCCAGGGCAGGGAGCAUGACACCACUGGGUGUUGUGUUCGUCCCAAAUUUAACCAAGGUGGCAGACUUCCUAAAGGUCUAG